This 514-nucleotide ribosomal RNA is filed under the name uncultured rumen bacterium 119pARRO. Its description in RNAcentral is "bacterial SSU rRNA". It matches the Rfam family "Bacterial small subunit ribosomal RNA", at positions 393 to 901 of the family's 1533-position model. Lineage: Bacteria; Pseudomonadati; Bacteroidota. The record is from RNAcentral.
CAANUAGCGUGCAGGAUGACGCCCCUAAUGGGUUGUAAACUGCUUUUAAUGGGGGAUAAAGUGGAGGGACGUNUCCNUUUUUUGUAGUACCGCAUGAAUAAGGACCGGCUAAUUUCCGUGCCAGCANCCGCGGUAAUACGGAAGGUCCGGGCGUUAUCCCGGAUUUAAUUGGGUUUAAAGGGAGCGCAGGCUGAUUGUUAAGCGUGACGUGAAAUGUAGCCGCUCAACGGCUGAACUGCGUCGCGAACUGGCAGUCUUGAGUGAGUACGACGUCAGCGGAAUUCGUGGUGUAGCGGUGAAAUGCUUAGAUAUCACGAAGAACCCCGAUUGCGAAGGCAGCUGACGAGUCCUUUACUGACGCUAAAGCUCGAAGGUGCGGGUAUCGAACAGGAUUAGAUACCCCUGGUAGUCCGCACGGUAAACGAUGGAUGCCCGCUGUUGGCGAUACAAUGUCAGCGGCCAAGCGAAAGCGUUAAGCAUCCCACCUGGGGAGUACGCCGGCAACUUGNAAGCC